RNAcentral lists this ribosomal RNA (812 nucleotides) under Sphenomorphus praesignis (Blotched forest skink). RNAcentral describes it as "partial 16S rRNA". It matches the Rfam family "Bacterial large subunit ribosomal RNA", at positions 1416 to 2594 of the family's 2925-position model. Lineage: Eukaryota; Metazoa; Chordata; Lepidosauria; Squamata; Scincidae. The record is from RNAcentral.
CAAAGCACAAAAUAACAAAAUACCAAAUACACUACACAAACUCCUAAUAACUAACUGAGCCAGCCUAUCGAAAUAGGCGAACUACUGCUAAAACUAGUAACAAGAAAACUUCUCUUGGCACACGCGUGAAUCAGAAAUAGAAAACCUACUGAUAAUUAACAGACCGAAAUUGGCCAAACAUAGUCAAUAUUGUUUUAAACUGUCACACCAACACAGGCGUGCCACAAAGAAAGAUUAAAAGCCACAGAAGGAACUCAGCAAAAUAUUGUCCCAACUGUUUACCAAAAACAUAGCCUUUAGCCAAAAAGUAUUAAAGGUAACGCCUGCCCAGUGAAACAUUUUUUAACGGCCGCGGUAUUCUAACCGUGCAAAGGUAGCGUAAUCACUUGUCUUCUAAAUAAAGACCAGUAUGAACGGCUAAAUGAGGACAAAUCUGUCUCCUGUGGCCAAUCAGUGAAACUGAUCUCCCAGUACAAAAGCUGGCAUACCCACAUAAGACGAGAAGACCCUGUGGAGCUUAAAACACACCACUAAUAAAUAUCACAUUAACUAGUAUAAAGUUUUGAGUUGGGGCGACUUCGGAACAAAACAAAACUUCCGAGCACAGAACCACUAUUUCUUACCGAGGCUCACAAGCCAAAGCAUACACUGACCCAGUAACACUGAUCAACGAACCAAGUUACCCCAGGGAUAACAGCGCCAUCUUCUUCAAGAGUCCCUAUCGACAAGAAGGUUUACGACCUCGAUGUUGGAUCAGGACACCCCAUUGGUGCAGCCGCUAUUAAAGGUUCGUUUGUUCAACGAUUAAUAGU